RNAcentral lists this ribosomal RNA (515 nucleotides) under uncultured bacterium. RNAcentral describes it as "partial 16S ribosomal RNA". It matches the Rfam family "Bacterial small subunit ribosomal RNA", at positions 28 to 523 of the family's 1533-position model. The record is from RNAcentral.
GAUGAACGCUGGCGGCGUGCCUAAUACAUGCAAGUCGAGCGAAUGGAUUAAGAGCUUGCUCUUAUGAAGUUAGCGGCGGACGGGUGAGUAACACGUGGGUAACCUGCCCAUAAGACUGGGAUAACUCCGGGAAACCGGGGCUAAUACAGGAUAACAUUUUGAACCGCAUGGUUCGAAAUUGAAAGGCGGCUUCGGCUGUCACUUAUGGAUGGACCCGCGUCGCAUUAGCUAGUUGGUGAGGUAACGGCUCACCAAGGCAACGAUGCGUAGCCGACCUGAGAGGGUGAUCGGCCACACUGGGACUGAGACACGGCCCAGACUCCUACGGGAGGCAGCAGUAGGGAAUCUUCCGCAAUGGACGAAAGUCUGACGGAGCAACGCCGCGUGAGUGAUGAAGGCUUUCGGGUCGCAAAACUCUGUUGUUAGGGAAGAACAAGUGCUAGUUGAAUAAGCUGGCACCUUGACGGUACCUAACCAGAAAGCCACGGCUAACUACGUGCCAGCCGCCGCGGUAA